UAAGAAAAUGACACAUUCAGCGUCUUCUGGUUUAAGAUGAACAAAGGGAAUAUUUGAGAACCUGUUAAAAUCACCCAGCUCCAAGACACAAGAGCGUGUGCUGCAUCACGUGUGUGGAAAGGAAGCGGCUGUGUGGACGCAGACGUCGUCUAAACGGUGCCACCAAGACAUUGUCUGAACGGAACCACCGACCCCCCAUUUUCUUCAGAGCGAGGCUGCCCAAGGGCCCGGAGGCUGUGCCUGCCCCACGGAAAACACGACCGAACGCAACCUGGUCACGAGCAUGGA
This 288-nucleotide long non-coding RNA is filed under the name Homo sapiens (human). RNAcentral's name for it is "HSALNT0360805". Lineage: Eukaryota; Metazoa; Chordata; Mammalia; Primates; Hominidae. The record is from RNAcentral.